Xyrauchen texanus (razorback sucker) is the source of this 930-nucleotide long non-coding RNA. RefSeq lists it as uncharacterized. The record is from RefSeq and is a predicted model, not a curated record. The transcript has 3 exons. NCBI's taxonomy places the organism in Eukaryota, Metazoa, Chordata, Actinopteri, Cypriniformes, Catostomidae.
CCACAAAGUUUUAGUCCAAGUGUGAUUUUAGCCACACCCCUGAACUCAUAUUCAGAGUUUCGAUUGAGGCACGUUGCAGAAAGUGAAGUGGAUAUCCACAAGAACCAGCAUUUUUUGCUUUGAUUCCUUAGUCAUGGAUUACUUUUAUGUUUCAUUUAUGGGAUUUUUGGAGCUACAAAUGUCUGAUCACAUUCACUUGCAUUAUAAGGACCUACAGAGCUGAAAUAUUCUUCAAAAAAUCUUUGAUUGUGUUCAGCAGAAGAAAGUCAUACACAUCUGGGAUGCCAUGAGGAUGCAGGGGCAUCAGACCGGGGGUAAUGGUGAACCCGAGUAUCCGGGACCCCGACUGGAGAACGGCCCACAGAAAGGCUAUAUUGACAAGCUUAACUUCCUCUCACCGCCUCCAACUGAAUGGUCGUUACGUUGGGAGAUAAAGCUUUGAGGCAUUCAGCUCCAGCCUGCUGAAAUUCUAUGGUUUCAGAGCCCCUUAGGGGAUCAGAUCUGCUUAUGACUCAUUCACACGGUGAUUGUGGUGGUAGAAAGCUUACUUUGAUUACUAUUUGAUUAUUGACCAAGAAAUCGUGUGGGAUCUUAAAUAUUAUUUUUAAUGUUUUGUUGAUGUCUUUAUGUCCUGAAAAUGAUAUUACAAUUUUAUUUAGAUUUGAAAUCAAUUUUGACGUGUGUGUUUGCUUUUUUCCCUUAAUUAUGUAGUUUCACUGUUCACUGAGUGUCACUGUUAUUGUGGUUUAAGGAGCAUGUAUGCCGAGUUGAAAAUUCUACUGAUUACAUUAAAAUUAAUGUGUAACCUUAACUACACAUUAUCAUGUAAAUAAUCAGUCAGUCAACUGCACUAAUUGCAGUUUGAUGCCUGAUUGAAGUCUCCCAGGUCUGAAGCACAACAUUACAUGAACAGAUCUAGAGACAGUUUAG